Molecule: ribosomal RNA, 478 nt
Filed under: uncultured bacterium
Lineage: Bacteria
Description: partial 16S ribosomal RNA
Rfam family: Bacterial small subunit ribosomal RNA
Source: RNAcentral
GAUGAACGCUGGCGGCGUGCCUAACACAUGCAAGUCGAACGGAGUCCAGCCUUUAAGACCUUCGGGUCAAAGAGGGGAAGACUGAGUGGCGGACGGGUGAGUAACACGUGGGCAACCUGGCUCAUAGAGGGGGAUAACAGAGAGAAAUUUCUGCUAAUACCGCAUAAGCACACACUGCCGCAUGGCAGAGGGUGAAAAGAGAAUCGCUAUGAGAUGGACCCGCGUCUGAUUAGCCAGUUGGCAGGGUAAGAGCCUACCAAAGCGACGAUCAGUAGCCGAUCUGAGAGGAUGAACGGCCACAUUGGGACUGAGACACGGCCCAAACUCCUACGGGAGGCAGCAGUGGGGGAUAUUGCACAAUGGGGGGAACCCUGAUGCAGCGACGCCGCGUGAGUGAAGAAGUAUUUCGGUAUGUAAAGCUCUAUCAGCAGGGAAGAUAAUGACAGUACCUGAAUAAGAAGCCUCGGCUAACUACGUG